GCUGGGCGUGGUAGUGCGUGCCUGUAAUCCCAGCUACUAGGGAGGCUGAGGCAGGAGAAUCACUUGAACCCAGGAGACAGAGGUUGCAGUGAGCUGAGAUCCUAGCACUGCACUCCAGCCUGGGUGACAGAGUGAGACUCUGUCUCAA
RNAcentral lists this non-coding RNA (148 nucleotides) under Gorilla gorilla gorilla (western lowland gorilla). The record is from Rfam by way of RNAcentral. Lineage: Eukaryota; Metazoa; Chordata; Mammalia; Primates; Hominidae.